This 119-nucleotide ribosomal RNA is filed under the name Pteropus alecto (black flying fox). The record is from RNAcentral. Lineage: Eukaryota; Metazoa; Chordata; Mammalia; Chiroptera; Pteropodidae.
GUCUACAGCCAUGCCACCCUGAACGUUCCCAAUCUCAUCUGAUCUCAGAAGCUAAGUAGGGUCGGGCCUGGUUAGUACUUGGAUGGGAGACCACCUAGGAAGACCAGGUGCUGUAGGCA